GACGAACGCUGGCGGCGUGCUUAACACAUGCAAGUCGAACGAAGUGGCGAACGGGUGAGUAAUACGUGGGUAACCUGCCCUCCUUUUUGGGAUAAGCCUUGGAAACGGGGUCUAAUACCGAAUAAAGGGGGAUGGGCUCGCGGCCUAUCAGCUUGUUGGUGGGGUGAUGGCCUACCAAGGCGGUGACGGGUAGCCGGCCUGAGAGGGUGAUCGGCAACAUUGGGACUGAGAUACGGCCCAGGCUCCUACGGGAGGGCGCAGUGGGGGAUAUUGCGCAAUGGGCGAGAGCCUGAUGCAGCGACGCCGCGUGGGUGAUGGAGGCUUUCGGGUUGUAAACCUCUUUCGCUCUCGAACGGGUAGGUGGAGAAGAAGCGCCGGCUAACUACGUGCCAGCAGCCGCGGUAAUUC
Molecule: ribosomal RNA, 408 nt
Filed under: uncultured bacterium
Lineage: Bacteria
Description: partial 16S ribosomal RNA
Rfam family: Bacterial small subunit ribosomal RNA
Source: RNAcentral